Molecule: ribosomal RNA, 458 nt
Filed under: uncultured bacterium
Lineage: Bacteria
Description: partial 16S ribosomal RNA
Rfam family: Bacterial small subunit ribosomal RNA
Source: RNAcentral
CCUACGGGUGGCAGCAGUGGGGAAUAUUGCACAAUGGGGGAAACCCUGAUGCAGCGACGCCGCGUGAGUGAAGAAGUAAUUCGUUACGUAAAGCUCUAUCAGCAGGGAAGAAACACUGACCUUACGGUCAGCAGACGGUACUUGAGUAAGAAGCCCCGGCUAACUACGUCCCAGCAGCCGCGGCAAUACGUAGGGGGCAAGCGUGAUCCGGAUUUAUUGGGUGGAAAGGGAGCGUAGACGGUGCGCCAAGUCUGGAGUGAAAUGCCGCAGCUUAACUGCGGAACUGCUUUGGAAACUGGCGAACGAGAGUGCGGGAGGGGUAAGCGGAAUUCGUAGUGUAGCGGUGAAAUGCGUAGAUAUUAGGAGGAACACCGAUGGCGAAGGCGGCUUACUGGACCGUAACUGACGUUGAGGCUCGAAAGCGUGGGGAGCAAACAGGAUUAGAUACCCGUGUAGUC